This 309-nucleotide long non-coding RNA is filed under the name Mytilus galloprovincialis (Mediterranean mussel). The record is from RNAcentral. Lineage: Eukaryota; Metazoa; Mollusca; Bivalvia; Mytilida; Mytilidae.
CUGUGAUGGAAUGUCCUGUCCUCCUGUAGACUGUUUAUAUUGUGAUAUGCUUAAAAGUAUAACAUAAAUGAUAAGUCACAGAGCUUGUUUUCAAAGCUGCAGGUUGUGAAAUAAUUACACAUUUUGUAUCGAUUAUUCAGAGAAAAAGCAUCAAUAAGUGAGUAGAAGGUAAACUAAAUGAUAGAAUUUUAAAAUAAAAUAUGAGAUGAUAUCACUCAUAGAUGCUUUCAGAACUUCAAAAGAAAAAUUGGGCUGACUUAUUUUUUUUCUGAAGAUUCCUUUAUUGUUUUGUCUGACUUACCUCCCCUU